UUCAUCAUCAGAGAUACACCACCACCACGGCACCACCCCUCUUAAACCUUCACCGCCGGAUCUGCCCCACACCAACCAAUAACCAUACCAAUCUGCCUCACUCUCACCAAAUCAACACCUCCAAACUCCCACCAGACGCCCGGACUUAUUCUCCCCCAUGAACGAAUUGGACGUUCCCUGAACCGUGACCUCAGCGCCGGAGUCGAACGAAAGCUCGAGCCACUGGCAGUCUCCAGAGCUUCUUUUGGCCGAAGAUUGAGCGGCGAAGAUGUACUCAUCCAGAAUGUUCAAUUUGAAGAAAUUCAUGUAUCAAUAAAUCUGUUUUUCCGGCAGCGGAUCUUGGCCGGCCGGAGGAUAAUUUUAGAGUUGCGGGAGAAACACAGAAGGGGUGGAGAUGGAAAUCAAAGAGGUGGGCCUACGGGAGCUUUUUAAAGAUUAAUUAAGUUUUAUAUUGUUUAAAUUGGUUUUUUAAUUAGUAAGGGCAAUUCUGUCAGUUACAUGGAUUUAACUAAGAAAACUAACGGUCAUCAACUCCGGGGACUAUCCGAGUAACCAAUGAUCAAACCACAGAGAACAUACAUGUUAUUUUAAAAAGAUGGGGACUAAACGUGGAAAAAUGGCAAACCACAUGGACCAAACGGCCUCCUAUUUAUCGGAUGUAAAUCCUCAUUCUCUCCCGCCCUAACCUUCGAUGGUUAUUUUCUUCUCCACCAAAUGUCCAGGAGAUAGUGUUUAAAUCUGUAUUUUGCUGCUUGAUAUUGGUAUAAUCACUUUUGUCAUUGUUAAUUGUCGUGAAAUUCAGAUUAUUGAAGGAAUAGCAGAGAAAAUAAACUUAUAGAAUGAUGGUAUAUAAGUUGCAGGUACAACUAGUAUGAAACCAACUAUUGAAAAAAGAUCACCAGACCUCUAUAUAUGCAGUUAUGAGUAUU
This 929-nucleotide long non-coding RNA is filed under the name Helianthus annuus (common sunflower). RNAcentral describes it as "hypothetical non coding rna". The record is from RNAcentral. Lineage: Eukaryota; Viridiplantae; Streptophyta; Magnoliopsida; Asterales; Asteraceae.